This is a long non-coding RNA of Phragmites australis (common reed), 699 nucleotides long. RefSeq lists it as uncharacterized. The record is from RefSeq and is a predicted model, not a curated record. Lineage: Eukaryota; Viridiplantae; Streptophyta; Magnoliopsida; Poales; Poaceae. The transcript has 3 exons.
GGGUUGAAGAGGUCCUCGGUCUCCUUCCAUGCUGUUCUAACUCCAAGUCUAUUUAUUACUGCACUCAAUUUCGGCAAGGCAUGAUCGUGGGGCGGCGUAGUGUUGCACUGACUUAUCUCGUAGCAUUUAAUAUCAUGGGAUGGUCUGAUAGGUGUUGCUCAAACGCGAAUGUGAUCGAUGACAGAUCGACGAACUAGGUUCAGGGAGGAACUGAGGUUCGGCGACUAGGUUUAGGAGGAACUGAGGUCAUGGUGAUCGAGGAUGUCAUGCAGGACAUUCAAGCUGGAAGAACAAUACAUAUGGAGAUAAGGUUUUGCGAUGGACACCGGAGGUGAUAUGAUCAUUAGAGGACGUGAAAAAUAAUUCGUGUUCGAGUCAGAGCAGUCACGAGGGAGUCAUAUGGUGGCUAGACUUGAGACAAGAGUUAGUGUUAGAGACGGACUCUAAGUUGGUUACAGACAUGCAUGUAUGCAUGGGAGAUGUUGCAUGCAUGAUUACGUGAGAGUUGUUGGCUAAUUAUCUUAAUUAGCGGAACUUAUUUGUCCUCUUGUGAUUAGAGGAGGAUAGAGACCAAGUUGAAUACGACUUAAAGUUGUAGUUCGAUUCGAUCACGUUUGUGCGUGUGGCUAUCCAAUAAAUAGAGAGGUUUGUUUUAUUGGGUGGACAACGCAGCAAAGAGAAAGAUUGAGAAAUCCUAGA